This 433-nucleotide ribosomal RNA is filed under the name uncultured bacterium. RNAcentral's name for it is "partial 16S ribosomal RNA". It matches the Rfam family "Bacterial small subunit ribosomal RNA", at positions 29 to 507 of the family's 1533-position model. The record is from RNAcentral.
AACGAACGCUGGCGGCAUGCCUAACACAUGCAAGUCGAACGAGACCUUCGGGUCUAGUGGCGCACGGGUGCGUAACGCGUGGGAACCUGCCCUUAGGUUCGGAAUAACUCCCCGAAAGGGGUGCUAAUGCCGGAUAAUGUCUUCGGACCAAAGAUUUAUCGCCUUUGGAUGGGCCCGCGUUGGAUUAGCUAGUUGGUAGGGUAAAAGCCUACCAAGGCGACGAUCCAUAGCUGGUCUGAGAGGAUGAUCAGCCACACUGGGACUGAGACACGGCCCAGACUCCUACGGGAGGCAGCAGUGGGGAAUAUUGGACCAUGGGCGAAAGCCUGAUCCAGCGAUGCCGCGCGAGUGAUGAAGGCCUUAGGGUUGUAAAGCUCUUUUACCCGGGAUGAUAAUGACAGUACCGGGAGAAUAAGCUCCGGCUAACUCCGUG